AGAGUUUGAUCCUGGCUCAGAUUGAACGCUGGCGGAAUGCUUUACACAUGCAAGUCGAACGGCAGCACGGAGAGCUUGCUCUCUGGUGGCGAGUGGCGAACGGGUGAGUAAUAUAUCGGAACGUGUCCAAUAAUGGGGGAUAACGAGUCGAAAGAUUCGCUAAUACCGCAUACGCCCUACGGGGGAAAGCAGGGGAUCGUAAGACCUUGCGUUAAUGGAGCGGCCGAUAUCUGAUUAGCUUGUUGGUGAGGUAAAGGCUCACCAAGGCGACGAUCAGUAGCUGGUUUGAGAGAACGACCAGCCACACUGGAACUGAGACACGGUCCAGACUCCUACGGGAGGCAGCAGUGGGGAAUUUUGGACAAUGGGGGCAACCCUGAUCCAGCCAUUCCGCGUGAGUGAAGAAGGCCUUCGGGUUGUAAAGCUCUUUCGCAAGGGAAGAAAACUUAUGAUCGAAUAAAUCAUGAGGUUGACGGUACCUUGAUAAGAAGCACCGGCUAACUACGUGCCAGCAGCCGCGGUAAUACGUAGGGUGCGAGCGUUAAUCGGAAUUACUGGGCGUAAAGCGUGCGCAGGCGGUUUUGUAAGACAGGCGUGAAAUCCCCGGGCUUAACCUGGGAAUUGCGCUUGUGACUGCAAGGCUAGAGUACGGUAGAGGGGGGUAGAAUUCCGCGUGUAGCAGUGAAAUGCGUAGAUAUGCGGAGGAACACCGAUGGCGAAGGCAAUCCCCUGGGCCUGCACUGACGCUCAUGCACGAAAGCGUGGGGAGCAAACAGGAUUAGAUACCCUGGUAGUCCACGCCCUAAACGAUGUCAACU
Molecule: ribosomal RNA, 818 nt
Filed under: uncultured Bacteroidota bacterium
Lineage: Bacteria; Pseudomonadati; Bacteroidota
Description: bacterial SSU rRNA
Rfam family: Bacterial small subunit ribosomal RNA
Source: RNAcentral